Molecule: transfer-messenger RNA, 400 nt
Filed under: Acetobacterium woodii
Lineage: Bacteria; Bacillati; Bacillota; Clostridia; Eubacteriales; Eubacteriaceae
Also listed under: 1 other name
Description: Standard tmRNA
Rfam family: transfer-messenger RNA
About the family: Bacterial tmRNA, also known as 10Sa RNA or SsrA, is named for its dual tRNA and mRNA-like properties. Its role is to liberate the mRNA from a stalled ribosome. To accomplish this part of the tmRNA is used as a reading frame that ends in a translation stop signal.
Source: RNAcentral
GGGGGUGUACUGGUUUCGACGGGGGUUUUGAAGCUUGAGUAGCGAGUCGAUGUUGCUGAUCAUCGUAAAAAGUGGCACUUAAAUAUAAACGCAAAAACAGAAAAAAGUUACGGGUUAGCUUUAGCAGCGUAAUUACGCUCUAAAGUUUAAUACUAAGACUUCGCAGCAUAAUUAAUGCUGCACGCCUCCCAUCUCAACCUGUGGUUUUGGGUUUCGGCGUUCAUUGAAGCAGGGAACCGUUUUAGGUAGUGCCUCGCACCUUUAACGAUCAAGAGGCUGGUUCACUCUUUUCUUUGUCAUUGGAGAAGAGGGGGAAUGAGAAAAUAAGCAAUGACUGCACUCGGAGAAGCUCCUGUGAAUGGAUUUUCGGACAGGGGUUCGACUCCCCUCACCUCCACCA